ACCCGUUGAUCCUGCGGGAGAUCGCUGCUAUCUGGGUUCGACUAAGCCAUGCAAGUCAAGGGGACUUCGGUCACCGGCACAAGGCUCAGUAACACGUCGAUAACUUGCCCUUAGAUCUAGAAUAACCUUGGAAAACUGAGGCUAAUGCUGGAUAGGAAAUACAUUCUGGAACGAGGUAUUUCUGAAAGGUAACGUCUAAGGAUAGGUCGGCGGCGGAUUAGGCUGUUGGUGAGGUAAAGGCUCACCAAACCAAAGAUCCGUAGGGGCUCUGAGAGGAGUAGCCCCGAGAAGGGCACUGAGACACUGGCCCUAGCCCUACGGGGUGCAGCAGGCGCGAAACCUUUACAAUGCACGAAAGUGUGAUAAGGGAAUCCAGAGUGCUCAUGCUUUGCAUGGGCUUUUGCCAAAUGUAAAAAGUUUGGCGAAUAAGUGGUGGGCAAGACUGGUGCCAGCCGCCGCGGUAACACCAGCGCCACAAGUGGGGAUCCUAUUUAUUUGGCCUAAAGCGUCCGUAGCUGGUUAUGUAAAUCUCUUGUGAAAUUGUUUCACUUAAUGAAACAGCGGGCAGGAGAGACUGCUUAACUCGGGACCGGGAGGAGUCAGAGGUAUGCUGUGGGGAGCGGUAAAAUGCUAUAAUCCUCAGUAGACCACCUGUGGCGAAGGCGUCUGACUAGAACGGGUUCGACAGUGAGGGACGAAAGCCAGGGGAGCAAACCGGAUUAGAUACCCGAGUAGUCCUGGCUGUAAACUCUGCGACCUAGGUGUUGCAUAUUCUUCGCGAAUGUGCAGUGUCGAAGCGAAGGCGUUAAGCUCGCCGCCUGGGAAGUACGGUCGCAAGACUGAAACUUAAAGGAAUUGGCGGGGGAGCACUACAAGGGGUGCGGCGUGCGGUUUAAUCUAACUCCACACAGAGAAUCUCACCAGGGGCGACGGCAGGAUGAAGGCCAGUCUGAAGGGCUUACCUGACGAGCCGAGAGGUAGUGCAUGGCCGCCGUCAGCUCGUGCCGUAAGGUGUCCUGUUAAGUCAGGCAACGAGCGAGACCUGUAUCCACAAUUGCUAGCGACUCAAUCUGAGAAUCGAGCACAUUGUGGGGACUGCCUUGGAAACAAGGAGGAAGGUGCAGGCAACGGUAGGUCUGUAUGCUCCGAAUCUUCUGGGCUACACGCGCGCAACAAUGGUGCAGACAAUGGGCUGCAACUCCGAAAGGAGAAGCUAAUCCUCGAAACUGCAUCCUAGUACAGAUUGAGGAUUGUAACUCAUCCUCAUGACGCUGGAAUCCCUAGUAAUCGGACGUCAUCAGCGUCCGGUGAAUAUGUCCCUGCUCCUUGCACACACCGCCCGUCAAACCACCCGAGUUGGGUCUAGAUGAGGCUCAGUUUUUAAUUGAGUCGAAUCUAAGCUUAGCGAGGAGGGUUAAGUCGUCACAAGGUA
Molecule: ribosomal RNA, 1432 nt
Filed under: metagenome
Description: bacterial SSU rRNA
Rfam family: Archaeal small subunit ribosomal RNA
Source: RNAcentral